GACGAACGCUGGCGGCGUGCUUAACACAUGCAAGUCGAACGCUGAAGCCCUUUCGGGGGUGGAUGAGUGGCGAACGGGUGAGUAACACGUGGGUAAUCUGCCCGGUACUGCGGGAUAAGCCUUGGAAACGGGGUCUAAUACCGGAUAGGACCUGUCCUCGCAUGGGGGUGGGUGGAAAGUUCCGGCGGUCUGGCAUGAGCCCGCGGCCUAUCAGCUUGUUGGUGGGGUAGUGGCCUACCAAGGCGACGGCGGGUGGCCGGCCUGAGCGGGUGAGCGGUCACACUGGGGCUGAGACACGGCCCAGACUCCUACGGGAGGCAGCAGUGGGGAAUCUUGCGCAAGGGGCGAAAGCCUGACGCAGCAACGCCGCGUGGGGGAUGACGGCCUUCGGGUUGUAAACCUCUUUCGACAUCGACGAAGGGGCCCUGUUGUGGGGUUUUGACGGUAGGUGUAGAAGAAGCACCGGCUAACUACGUGCCAGCCGCCGCAGUAA
RNAcentral lists this ribosomal RNA (493 nucleotides) under uncultured bacterium. RNAcentral's name for it is "partial 16S ribosomal RNA". It matches the Rfam family "Bacterial small subunit ribosomal RNA", at positions 28 to 523 of the family's 1533-position model. The record is from RNAcentral.